AUACGGAGGGUGCAAGCGUUACUCGGAAUCACUGGGUGUAAAGCGCGCGCAGGCGGCUAUUUAAGUUGGAUGUGAAAGCCUACGGCUCAACCGUAGAACUGCAUCCAAAACUAUUUAGCUAGAGUGUGGGAGAGGAAGAUGGGAUUAGUUGUGUAGGGGUAAAAUCCGUGGAGAUAACUAGGAAUACCAAAAGCGAAGGCAAUCUUCUGGAACACUACUGACGCUGAGGCGCGAAAGCGUGGGGAGUAAACGGGAUUAGAUACCCUAGUAGUCC
RNAcentral lists this ribosomal RNA (274 nucleotides) under uncultured bacterium. Its description in RNAcentral is "partial 16S ribosomal RNA". It matches the Rfam family "Bacterial small subunit ribosomal RNA", at positions 523 to 796 of the family's 1533-position model. The record is from RNAcentral.